AAUCAUCUACCCUAAAUCUAGUUCGAAACCCUAUCCGCCUCCAAAUUCCCAACCCACCGGCUGGCGGCGCCACUCCAAACACUCUCCAUAUUAUAAGUGGACAACCACCAUACCUUCCCAUCCUAUAUCUAUCAUCGAUUUCCAAAAUCUUUACCAAUUUCAGAUCUAAGACUCUGAAAGAAAAUAAGAGAUAAGACGAAGGGAAUAAGAGAUAUUUAGUGAACAUGUAUGUUAGGCCGAUAAACCGCCCAUUAACCGCCCU
RNAcentral lists this long non-coding RNA (262 nucleotides) under Nicotiana benthamiana. RNAcentral's name for it is "long non-coding RNA (NBEN_LNC011659)". The record is from RNAcentral. Lineage: Eukaryota; Viridiplantae; Streptophyta; Magnoliopsida; Solanales; Solanaceae.